Long non-coding RNA from Oryzias melastigma (Indian medaka), 1227 nucleotides. RefSeq lists it as uncharacterized. The record is from RefSeq and is a predicted model, not a curated record. The transcript is spliced from 3 exons. Lineage: Eukaryota; Metazoa; Chordata; Actinopteri; Beloniformes; Adrianichthyidae.
ACUUUCCCUCGUGCUGUUAACCUUUUUAAACGGAAAUGUUCUGAUAAAAUGACAUAAUGAGCGGGAAAAUUCCGCUUUAAAGGGGAAAUUUAAGUGUAAAGAGUCACUUGACCGUAACUAUAACCAAAAACAGAGCAGGCGGAGGUUAAAAAACACACAACAAAUUAUUCGGGCGAGUUAAUAAAUAAUGCUCGAGUGUAAAAGUUUAGCCGCGCGGCAGCGUUCACGUGAAGAGCCGCGAAUAUUCCCGUCAGGAAGUGGAGAGGAGGGGGGAGACAAGAGGGGAGGAAAAAUGAGGGAAUUCUCGCAAAGAAAUGGGAAAAAUGCGCGGAAUGUGGACUCUUGACAGUAAGCGCUAAUUGAUUUGGAUAGAGACGGCGGGGACACGCGGGCUUCACAGCAGCUGAACUAAGUUCAGACUCGGUCUUAGGGGAAAACAGCAGAAAACAGCUUACCUGGAGACGCUCUGAGACGCCCGGUAGACAGGUAGCAGCCCUCCUGUUGAAUACCAUCACUGCAUUUUAUUUUGUAUUUAUUUAUUUUUUCUGGAGGGGUGGUUCGUCCUCACGAAAUUCCCUCCGUAGUCUUUGUUUGUUUCCCUGCUGCCUGGUCUUCUUCCUGAAGCCGCUUGUUUGAAGCGAGAGGAGGGCAGGAAUUUCAGGAAUUAGCCGUGGUAUGACAUGAAGCCUGGAAAAAGCCAGAGAAAAAGACCAAGGGAGGGAAGGGGGGAGGGAGGGGAGGGGAGGCCUGACCGGUCACCACGUAGGGAGGAGGAGGAGGAGGGAGGAGGAUGGGGGGAGGACCCUCCUGGAUGAGAAAGGAAAGCAGGAGAACACCAGAAACCUUCACCAAGAACCAACUCCAUGAUGAUCUUCAUCAGACUGAUUCACCCUCAGCUGAGAUGACCUCAGCUAUGUCUGGGGGGAAAAAUGAGACAAAGAUGAUGCACUAAAAUUAGUGGACAUGUUGCUCAAGUCAGUGAAGUGUGGAAGGUGGAGGCUUGUGGACCCAGAUGUGAUUCUGUCGGAACUUUGGACAGCAAAGCUACAGGAGUAUGUGUUGAGCGCCAGCGACCCCUAGUGGAACGUACAGGCCAGCUCCCUCCUCUUCUCCAGAACUUGCUCCAGAGCUGCCUGCAGCUUGUGAGGAAGAAUGGAGUCUUCAUCAUCCAGCUGUAGAAAGAAAAUGUUAGCAACCCAAAGACAGCGUUCUACGCUUCCUAAACAU